UGCCUACGGGGGGCAGCAGUGGGGAAUAUUGGGCAAUGGGCGCAAGCCUGACCCAGCAACGCCGCGUGAAGGAAGACUGCCCUAUGGGUUGUAAACCUCUUUUGUCAGGGAGCAACGCCGGCUACGUGUAGCCGGACUGAGAGUACCUGAAGAAAAAGCAUCGGCUAACUCCGUGCCAGCAGCCGCGGUAAUACGGAGGAUGCGAGCGUUAUCCGGAUUUAUUGGGUUUAAAGGGUGCGUAGGCGGAAUGCCAAGUCAGCGGGAAAAUCGCGGGGCUCAACCUCGCUCCGCCGUUGAAACUGGCG
Molecule: ribosomal RNA, 305 nt
Filed under: uncultured bacterium
Lineage: Bacteria
Description: bacterial SSU rRNA
Rfam family: Bacterial small subunit ribosomal RNA
Source: RNAcentral